Dreissena polymorpha is the source of this 2655-nucleotide long non-coding RNA. RefSeq lists it as uncharacterized. Lineage: Eukaryota; Metazoa; Mollusca; Bivalvia; Myida; Dreissenidae. The record is from RefSeq and is a predicted model, not a curated record. The transcript has 8 exons.
GGACAGUGGGAGAACAACAACAUCCUGGUGUUCAGAGUGGAAUAGUGUGUACAUUGGCUGCUGAGUCAGGACAACGAAGCUGAGGAUGUGGUGGACAAGAAUAAACUGAAUACUCAGAAGGAGAGCACCAGCAUUGGUAUCGAGUUGGCCCAGCAUCAGUACCAGUCCAGCAUGCAGGAGAUCCAGUCAAGGACGACCCUUCCCCUCCCCUGACCACUAACUCCUCACUUUUGACCUGCAGCCUCAAAGGAUCAGCAUAGUUGAACAAUUCUGUUCUGCAGGAAAUUCUCAGCACGUCAAGUUUUCACGGGCUGUUCUCAACAACCGCAAUGUCCUGGUCGAGUUUUCCACACUCAAGCCUGAGUAGUUUUGUUAAAUAUAAGCAGUAGAAAUGGUAAAUCUAACAGCCAGUGUGCUUGCUCUGGGACAUCACAAAGAAUAUCACAGAAUACAAAGUUGAAUAACUUGUUCCAUUCAUUAUGGGACCAACAGAAAUUCAGCAAGAAACAGGGCAAAAAAUCAAGGAACAAUUGAAGCGAUUAAUUUAGAAGUGUAGGUUUUCCAAAGUAGAUACUUCUGCUGUUGAUAGUUUUGACAGUAAUAGCGUUAUGGACGUCUCGGUUUGUCCUCUCAGGCGUGUAAACUGUCCAAAGAGAACACGCUUCUGACGCUUUUGCUGACGAAGAAAGGCAGUAAUGACUUGGCUGUGAACACCCAGAGCACAAUACAUCCUUGGGGCAUGCCUCAGACGCAAAUUCCGCUCAAGAUUAUAAACAAGGCGCAAAAUGUGAAUAUGUCUAGCUUUGUUACGAGCACUUCCCACUCUGAGCCCAUAGGCCUCGUAUUGAAUCGAGGCUGAGAAGGCAUUGACAAAUGACAGCAGUUGUGUUGUGUGGUCCAGUAUGCCCAUCGACUCUCAACCCAACGUUAAUCAGAACUCAAACUCGGCCCUUAGCAAUAUCAGCUCAGCUCCUUGAGCCUCAGGACUUGAUGCAAUCCAUGAUUGGUACCCAGCUUAACAACAGGCUCUUUGGUCAGCUGGUCCCAGACGCCCAGAGACACUUCCUGUGCAUCGGGGGUAGUUGGCUCUUGGCGCAGGACCUCGGGGCAAAUGCUCAACGAAUCCUUCCCGCAGGGUGCAGCCAGUCUAAACCUGGGGAUUCAAACUUUCCUGCCUAAGGGCCGAGAUUAUCUCAUCCACAAGGCACACAUUUCUGGGAGGCGCUAAGACCAUUUUAUCAGAGUCUUAUACUCACAAGUUCAGGCCCAGAGAGAAAUAUCCCCAACUACAACUUUGCCCCUACAUCACAAUAGGAGAGCACCAGCAUUGAUAUUGUGUUGGCCCAACAACAGCACCAGUCUGGCAUGCAUGAGCCCCAGUCCAGGACAACCCUUCCCCUACCCUGAUCCAUAUCUCCUCCCCCAAGACCUUCAGCCUCAAAUUCUUAACACAUCCAGUUUUCUUGCACUGUUCUCAUCAACCGCAAUGUCCACGUCAAGUUAUCCACUGUCGAGCCUGAGUAGUUUUGUUUAGCUUGAGUGUCCGAGUGGGAAGAGUGUUAUAGACACAAGGAGUUAUAUCAGUAGUUAUGGUAAUGCUCAAUCAACAGUCAGUUCUUGCUGUUGGACAUCACUGCGAAUAUCACGAGGAAUAAGAAGUUGAAUAACUUGUUCCAUUCAUUAUGGGACAAACACAAAUUUAGCGAGGAACAGGGUAAAAAAAUCAAGGGACAAUUGAAGUGAUUAAUGCAGAAGUGUACGCUUUCCAAAGUAGAUACUUGUGCUGUUGAUAGCUAGGACAGUAGUAGCGUUACGGACCGUCUUGGUUUGUCCUCUCAGGCAUCUAAAGGGAACAUGAAGCUUUUGACGCUGUUGCUGAUGAAGAAAGGCAGUAAUGACUUGGCUGUGAACACCCAGAGCACAAUACAUCAAUGGGGCAUGCCUUGGACGCAAAUUGCGCCCAAUAUUGUAAACAAGGUGCAAAAUGUGAACAUGUCUAGCUUUGUUACCAGCACUUGGCACUCCGAGCCUAAAGGGUCUAGUAUUGAAUCGAGGAUAGAGAUGGCUUUGAAAAAUGACAGCAGUUGUGUUCUGUGGUCCAGUACACACUUCGCCUCUCAAUCGAGUUAGUCAGAACUCAAACUCUGGCCUUAUUAAUAUCAGCAAGUUGUAGAGACGCUCAAACUGAAACAAUUUGUUCCAACAGAUAGAACAGGCGUUGAUUGACUCGUCCGUAAAUGUGACUGGCCUUAAUAUGUUGCUCUCGAAUAAUGUGAACCUCACCAGGAGAGCUGUCUUCGAUUGACGCCAUUCAACAACAGUUGUUGUCGGGAAUUCCCAGGUUUGGGUUGGUGACUUAGGUGUCAGGACUCGCUUCAUCUCUGCACAUGGCACGGUCGCAGCAGCAGCAACAAGAACAGCAGCUGUUUCCUAAAGGACCUCAUGCAAUCAUGGAUCGGUACCCAGAUGAACACCAUACUCUCUAGUCAGCUGUGCCCAGACGCCCAGGGAGACUUCCUGUGCGUGGGGUUGAUGGGCUCUUGGCCCAGGAUCUUAGGGCAAAUGCUCUAGUCCUACCCCCAGGAUGCAGCCAGUCUUAACCUGGGGCUUCAAUCUGUCAGAUCCAGGAGCCGAGAUGACCUCAUCCACAAGGUU